Molecule: long non-coding RNA, 2233 nt
Filed under: Olea europaea subsp. europaea
Lineage: Eukaryota; Viridiplantae; Streptophyta; Magnoliopsida; Lamiales; Oleaceae
Source: RNAcentral
GUGACUUUCAAGUGGGGCAAAAAGUGUUACUGUAUAACUCCAGGCUUAAGCUGUUUCCAGGAAAAUUGAGAUCGAGAUGGUCUGGUCCAUAUACCAUUACACAAGUGUUUCCACAUGGGGCAAUUGAGAUCACUCACGACAGCAAGGGAACAUUCAAAGUUAAUGGACAGCGUUUGAAGCACUAUUGGGGCGGUGAUUUCUCAAAGGACAAGUCUACCGUCCAUCUUGGAUCACCAGAAUGACACAAUAUGGUAAAGUCGAGCUAUCGACUAUAACUUAGCGCUGAGUGGGAGGCAACCCACUGUAUCCUUAUUUUAUUUUAUUGCAUUGCACUAGUUUAGGAAUUUGUUUGAGUUUAAUUUGUUUCUUAGGUCAUCGAUCAUCUUUUGCAUGAUAGCCUAGGCACUACACGUUUAAUGUUGCAUGAAUGAGUGCUAAAUGACGUGUUUGGGUGUUCAAGUGUGUGUCACGCAUUCCGAUGUGCGGAGAUAUUCAUUUUGGUUAAGCUUUCAGAAUGCGGGACAACAGUUAAAAAAAAAAAAAAAUUUGCAAACCGGUUUGGUCUAUGCGACCGCAUAGACCAAAGGUCUAUGCGAUCGCAUAGACCUAACCCGAAAACCAUUGGGAGGUUUUGGGUUGCACUAUGCGACCGCAUAGUGUUGUGGUCACGGGUUUUAACCCGUGACCACAUCCUCCCUCCCCAAUUUUUUUUUUCUUUUCUCCCCCCCUUCUCAUUCUCACUCAAACACACGCACAUCACUCACUCCUUCACUUGCACUCACUUCACUUACACACAUCUCACUCUUCAUUUGCACCCACUUCACAAAUCUAGCACCUAAAGUUGGAUUGGACUCUACAUUGAAGAUUAUACCACACCUAAAUUAACAAGAAUUGGAACUACAAGGUAUGUUUCUCUAAUGCCUAAUUUCGAGUUUUAUUUAACGAUUAUCUUUCAAUGUGUGGAUUUAGUUAGGAUGUAUUGUGGUAGAUUGGUGUACUAUUGUGAAUUGGGGAACUUUCAUGGUAGUGUAGGUAAGAAAUAGGAAGUAAUUCACAUUGCACACCAAGUGUUCGACGAAAUGCCACAUUAACGUAUGUUUUGAUUUUUUGGGCUUUUCACUUAUGUAAUAGUUUACAUCGUUAUUGUAUAGCGUUUUUGUCGAAAAAUCAUGUGAUAUUUCAAUAGAAAACAUUACCUUAACAUUUGAAGUAACAAAGGCAUUUCAUGGUUCAACAUAUCCACUCACGUCACUACCUUCGUCCCUAUGUUUUCUAAUGCAAACGACCUCCGAUUAGGGUGAAAUUUGGAUAUAUGCUAGAUAUCAUUAUGUACUUUCACAUGUCCAAAACUUGCUCGGGAAAAUUUGGGUAUUUCUCGGUGAUGCCCGGGGCCAAACUUGGUCAUUUGAUCAUGGGUAAAAAUUUUGAGUUUUCCAUACUUGUGCAAUGCUAGAGUUAUAUUGAUGAUUCAUGAUAUGAAACAUUGCAUAAACACACGUAAAUGUGCAUAUUGAAGAAAGUUUGGGGGAUUAUGAAUUCAAAGUUUAUUCAUGCCAAAUUUUUUUACCAAGUAAGUGAUAUUAUGUAUUUCCUUUUGCAGGAUGCCUCCUAAAAGAACUUCAAAGGGAAAAGAGAAAGUCGGCUCCUCAUCUGGAACGGCCCGAACAAGAGAACCCGAAGGGGGUGUUCGAAGAUUCUUAUCACCAGAUACGGCAGCCCGAUACGCCAACGUUGUGCGUGAUUGGGCAAUCAUUCCCGAGAGGCCAGUUAAGUUAGAAGACUUCCCCAACUUUGAAUUGACAUAUCUUAUUCACAAUUGCGGUUGGGAAAAGGUUAUAGAAAGACCUCAUCCGGUGUAUGAGAAUCUAGCAAAGGAAUUUUAUGCAAAUUUCAACACAGAAAUUGACACCCCCGGAUCGGAGCACUUACAUCAGACUUGGGUUAGGGGCAAAUGGAUUAUGUUUUCACCGGAGGUAAUUCAUGAUUACUAUCAGUUAUCCUGGAAUAAUGUAGUCCCUAUUCCCGAGGACUUCAACUGGCGUGAGGUUGCAGAAAUAUUGUUGGGACGUGAAAAUGCUUGGCCUCUACCUACAGCAGACUGGCAUCAGAUAGAUCUCACCCCAUCCAUAGCAAUUUUAUGGUUAUUCAUGUGCCAUAACAUCGAGCCUAUAUCCCACAGAACAACAUUUACAAAUCCAAGGGCCGGAUUCAUAUACCAUUUGGUUAGAGGGAA